This 1387-nucleotide ribosomal RNA is filed under the name uncultured bacterium. RNAcentral's name for it is "bacterial SSU rRNA". It matches the Rfam family "Bacterial small subunit ribosomal RNA". The record is from RNAcentral.
GAGUUUGAUCCUGGCUCAGAUUGAACGCUGGCGGCAUGCUUUACACAUGCAAGUCGAGCGGAGCGCGGGGGCAACCUGGCGGCGAGCGGCGAACGGGUGAGUAACACAUCGGAACGUAUCCCGUAGAGGGGGAUAGCCCGGCGAAAGCCGGAUUAAUACCGCAUAUGCUCUACGGAGGAAAGUGGGGGACUUCGCAAGGAGCCUCACGCUAUGGGAGCGGCCGAUGGCCGAUUAGCUAGUUGGUGGGGUAAAGGCCUACCAAGGCGACGAUCGGUAGCUGGUCUGAGAGGAUGAUCAGCCACACUGGGACUGAGACACGGCCCAGACUCCUACGGGAGGCAGCAGUGGGGAAUUUUGGACAAUGGGGGCAACCCUGAUCCAGCCAUGCCGCGUGAGUGAAGAAGGCCUUCGGGUUGUAAAGCUCUUUUGGUCGGGAAGAAAGGGUUUCCUUGAAUACGGGAGAUUCUUGACGGUACCGGCAGAAUAAGCACCGGCUAACUACGUGCCAGCAGCCGCGGUAAUACGUAGGCAGCGAGCGUUGUUCGGAGUUACUGGGCGUAAAGGGUGUGUAGGCGGUUGUUUAAGUUUGGUGUGAAAUCUCCCGGCUCAACUGGGAGGGUGCGCCGAAUACUGAAUGACUAGAGUGCGGGAGAGGAAAGUGGAAUUCCUGGUGUAGCGGUGAAAUGCGUAGAUAUCAGGAGGAACACCGGUGGUGUAGACGGCUUUCUGGACCGUAACUGACGCUGAAACACGAAAGCGUGGGUAGCAAACAGGAUUAGAUACCCUGGUAGUCCACGCCCUAAACGAUGCAUAUUUGGUGUGGGCAGUUCAUUCUGUCCGUGCCGGAGCUAACGCGUUAAAUAUGCCGCCUGGGGAGUACAGUCGCAAGGCUGAAACUCAAAGGAAUUGACGGGGGCCCGCACAAGCGGUGGAGCAUGUGGUCCAAUUCGACGCAACGCGAAGAACCUUACCUGGGCUCGAACGGCCGGUUAACGGCGUUAGAAAUAGCGCUACUCCGCAAGGAGGUCCGGUCGAGGUGCUGCAUGGCUGUCGUCAGCUCGUGUCGUGAGAUGUUGGGUUAAGUCCCGCAACGAGCGCAACCCUUGUCCUGUGUUGCCAUGCCGAAAGGCGGAACUCGCAGGAGACCGCCAGCGAUAAGCUGGAGGAAGGUGGGGAUGACGUCAAGUCCUCAUGGCCUUUAUGUCCAGGGCUACACACGUGCUACAAUGGCCGGUACAAAGCGUCGCAAACCCGCGAGGGGGAGCCAAUCGCAAAAAACCGGUCUCAGUUCGGAUUGCAGGCUGCAACUCGCCUGCAUGAAGCUGGAAUCGCUAGUAAUGGCAGAUCAGCACGCUGCCGUGAAUACGUUCCCGGGCAUUGUACACAC